This 372-nucleotide ribosomal RNA is filed under the name uncultured organism. Its description in RNAcentral is "partial 16S ribosomal RNA". It matches the Rfam family "Bacterial small subunit ribosomal RNA", at positions 527 to 896 of the family's 1533-position model. The record is from RNAcentral.
GGAGGGGGCUAGCGUUGUUCGGAAUUACUGGGCGUAAAGGGCGCGUAGGCGGUAUGCCAUGUCAGGGGUGAAAGGCCUGGGCUCAACCCAGGAACUGCCUUUGAAACUGGCAAACUAGAGUCCGAUAGAGGAUGGCGGAAUUCCCAGUGUAGAGGUGAAAUUCGUAGAUAUUGGGAAGAACACCAGUGGCGAAGGCGGCCAUCUGGAUCGGCACUGACGCUGAGGCGCGAAAGCGUGGGGAGCAAACAGGGAUUAGAUACCCUGGUAGUCCACGCCGUAAACGAUGUGUGCUAGACGUUGGGGGCCCUAGGCCCCUGGGUGUCGCAGCUAACGCAUUAAGCACACCGCCUGGGGAGUACGGCCGCAAGGUUA